UUGUAAGGUAUACAGAAUGUUUGUGUUUUGUGGCAGUUAGGAUUUAGUAUACACCCUGUGCAUCAGGGUUUAUAAGUAUUAAAUAUUUUUCAUGAAUUUUAAAGUUCCUUUCUAAUGGCGUGCUUAAAAUGACUGAAAAAGAUGUUUCAUUUGAAUGUUUUCAUAGAUUCAUCAUACAUUGCUUUGUAUAAAAAUGACAAUCAUUAAUGUAAAAGUUUAAUGUAUAAAGACCACUUCUAUAGUAAUAGUAACAUUUUUUAAAGCCCAUUGUGUAUUCCUCAGUUUGCACCAGUUUGCUUUUUAUAAAUUUUAUUGAGAUCAAAAUAUACCAUACAAUUCCCUCUUCCUCUCUUUUCUUUUCUUUCUUUGUAUGUGGAGGUGUGUCGGGGGGAGCUGGAACUGGAGAUUGAACCCAGCAACACUCUGACAUUGAGCUGCAACUCCAGCCCUUUUUGUUGUUUUCAGAUAGGGUCUCACUAAGUUGCCCGGGAUGGUCUUUAACUUGCAUUCCUCCUGCCUCUGCCUCCCAAGAAGCUGGUGUUACAGGCCUGUGCCACCAGGCCUAGCAGAGUAAAACUCAUGUUUAAAUUUAAGCGUACAGUUUGAUUAGUUUUGACAUAUAUCUAGGCCUUUAUAACUAUCAUCAUAAUCAAGAUAAUGAACAUUUUAAAAUGUUUCCUUGUCUCCCUUUGUAGUCCAUCCUUUUCUAAAUCGC
RNAcentral lists this long non-coding RNA (715 nucleotides) under Marmota monax (woodchuck). Lineage: Eukaryota; Metazoa; Chordata; Mammalia; Rodentia; Sciuridae. The record is from RNAcentral.